This is a long non-coding RNA of Pan troglodytes (chimpanzee), 3542 nucleotides long. RefSeq lists it as uncharacterized. The record is from RefSeq and is a predicted model, not a curated record. The transcript has 2 exons. Lineage: Eukaryota; Metazoa; Chordata; Mammalia; Primates; Hominidae.
AAAGUACCACUCGCUAUGAAGCGCGUAGAUGAAAUUGACCAACGUGUUGAAGGCGGCCAUGGAGGCGUCGGAGAAAGCUAGGUUCACAAGGAAGUAGUUGGUGACAGUCCUCAUGCGCUUGUGGGCCAGGAUGAUCCAGAUGACGAUGAGAUUUCCCAAAACUGCCACUGCCACCACCACACCAUACGCCAGGGACCAGAGCGCGAUGCGCCAGGACGGCUGCACGAACUGUUCUGUCACCCAGGCUGGAAUGCAGUGGUGCAAUCAUAGCUCACUGCAGCCUUCAACUCCUGGCGCAAGCGAUCCUUCCCCACCUCAGCUUCCUGAGUAGCUAGUACUACAGGCAUGUGCCACCAGUGCCACCACACCCAGCUAAUUUAAAUUUUUUGUUGUUGUUGUUGCGACAUGGUCUGGCGAUGUUGUUCAGCCUGGUCUCCAACUCCUGGCCUUAAGCAAUCUUCCCAGCUCGGCCUCCCAAAAGGCUGGACCUCCAACAAUGCUGGGAUUACAGGCAUGAGCCACUGUGCCUGGCCCUUCUGCAUUCUUUAGUUUUCCAGUUUAAAAUAUACUCUUCAAAGAACCUGCUGUGAUGAUUGGACAAGUGGACUUAAGGUGCGUAGUGAUAAAUAGUGUUUUCCUUCUUACAGUUAUUAUGACUAAAUGGCUAGUGUAUAAAAAUGAUUUUAAGCAACCUGAUAGUUAUUAUCACAGCCUUGACACAAUCCUGCUUCAAAGUAAAUGCAUGCAGACCAUGAUGAUUAUCAAAUGUUAUUUCCCUUUUCUUCUGAGAGGCCUGUGAAAAUAUGUGAUAAAUCAUAGGCAAAGUCAAUAAGAUUAGCACUUUCUGCUUACUAAUUCCAAUGGUUUAAUUUAACUAUUUUCUUUUGAAAGAUUACUUCUUUGUUCUAAUUCAUCAUCUAGAAAUUACUUGAGUUACAAAUGAAAGCCUCUUCCUUUCCCAAUGCAAUUUAAAAGACAUUAAAAAUAUAUCUCCAUAUGACACACCUGCUUACUCAAGAUUACAAAAUAGGUUAUGUGGUGGUUUGGUAAUUAAGCAUGUUUUGAUCAGAUUUUUGAAGUUGAAAAAUUACUUAGUUGUGUAGAAAUACACUCAUUUUACUGUUGCUUUCUUUGUAAUACUUACAACAAACAUUUUAAUUUUUCAGUUUUGCCUUCAUUGGGCUUAUACAAAGUAGAGGGGAUAUGACAAGGAAAAAAAGGAUAAUGAUGGAAUUAGAAAUAGAUAUAAUGAAAGACGUUUAAAAAUUUAUUUCUUUCAGAGGAAGGGAGGCAUUCAGGGCAUGGCUUUCCUUCUCAAUCUGCCUUACCUACUGAGAAUCUCCCUUGACCCCAAGAGGGAUCAGUGAUAAUUCAUUGUCUAUCAUUUCUUAGCUAUGUAUUAGCAUACUUCUUUCCAGGUGCUAUGCCAGAUACUGGGAGUAUAGCAAUGAAGCAGUUAUAUAUGAAUUCUAUUCUUGAAGCCUAGAGUCUAGCAGUAUUUUUUCACAUUAAGAAAUAGGAAGGAAAAAAAGGAUCUGAGAAGUCCUGUAAUAAAAGUACUUUAGCCCUCUCCCUCUCCCUCUCCCCACGGUCUCCCUCUCCCUCUCUCUCCACGGUCUCCCUCUGAUGCCGAGCCAAAGCUGGACUGUACUGCCACCAUCUCGGCUCACUGCAACCUCCCUACCUGAUUCUCCUGCCUCAGCCUGCCGAGUGCCUGGGAUUGCAGGCGCGCGCCACCACGCCUGACUGGUUUUCGUAUUUUUUUGGUGGAGACGGGGUUUCGCUGUGUUGGCCGGGCUGGUCUCCAACUCCUAACUGCGACUGAUCUGCCAGCCUCGGCCUUCCGAGGUGCCGGGAUUGCAGACGGAGUCUCACUCACUCAGUGCUCAAUGUUGCCCAGGCUGGAGUGCAGUGGCGUGAUCUCGGCCAGCUACAACCUCCACCUCCCAGCCGCCUGCCUUGGCCUCCCAAAGUGCCGAGAAUGUAGCCUCUGCCCGGCCGCCACCCCAUCUGGGAAGUGAGGAGCGUCUCUGCCUGGCCGCCCAUCGUCUGGGAUGUGAGGAGCCCCUCUGCCCGGCAGCCCAGUCUGGGAAGUGAGGAGCGCCUCUUCCCAGCUGCCAUCCCGUCUAGGAAGUGAGGAGCGUCUCUGCCCAGCCGCCCAUCAUCUGAGAUGUGGGGAGCGCCUCUGCCCUGCCGCCCCCUCUGGGAUGUGAGGAGCGUCUCUGCCUGGCCGCCCCGUCUGAGAAGUGAAGAGUCCCUCCGCCCGGCAGCCACCCCGUCCGGGAGGUGGGGGGCGCCUCCGCCCGACCACCCUGUCUGGGAAGUGAGGAGCCCCUCUGCCCGGCAGCCACCCCGUCUGGGAGGUGUACCCAACAGCUCAUUGAGAACGGGCCAUGAUGACGAUGGUGGUUUUGUCGAAUAGAAAAGGGGGAAAUGUGGGGAAAAGAUAGAGAAAUCAGAUUGUUGCUGUGUCUGUGUAGAGGGAAGUAGACGUAGGAGACUCCAUUUUGUUCUGUACUAAGAAAAAUUCUUCUGCCUUGGGAUGCUGUUAAUCUAUAACCUUACCCCCAACCCCGUGCUCUCUGAAACAUGUGCUGUGUCCACUCAGGGUUAAAUGGAUUAAGGGCGGUGCAAGAUGUGCUUUGUUAAACAGAUGCUUGAAGGCAGCAUGCCCUAUAAGAGUCAUCACCACUCCCUAAUCUCAAGUACCCAGGGACGCAAACACUGCCGAAGGCCACAGGGUCCUCUGCCUAGGAAAACCAGAGACCCUUGUUCACAUGUUUGUCUGCUGACCUUCCCUCCACUAUUGUCCUAUGACCCUGCCAAAUCCCCCUCUCCGAGAAACACCCAAGAAUGAUCAAUAAAUACUAAAAAAAAAAAAAAAAAGAAAGAAAUGGUAACAAUGGACACCUUUACCUUGUUUCCAAUCUUAGUGGGAAAGUAUUCAGUUUUUCACCAUUAUGAAUGAUGUUAUCUAUAGGUUCUUUGUAGAUGGCCCUCAUCAAUUUGAGGAAGUUCCCUUCUAUUCCUAGUUUGCUGACUAUAUUUAUCAUGCCCCGAAGGUGAACUUUUUCAAAUGCCUUUUCUGUAUCUAUUGGGACAACCAUAUGGUUUGUUUUUUAAUACACUUAUGUGGUGAAUUGCAUUUAUUGAUUUUUGAAUGUUAGAGUAUACUUACAUUCCUGGUAUAAAUUCUACUUUUUCAUGAUGUAUUAUCUUUUAAAAAUAUGAUUAAAAUAUGAUUGAAUGUAGUUUACUAAUAAAAAUAAAUAAAUAAAUAAAUGUAAAAAAAAAAGAAAUAGGAAGGUAUGGAGAAAAAUGAGAGUGUUUAACUGUGUAAGAGAAUGUGGUGCCCACUGAUUCUGGAUUGUUCCAACUUCUCUUGUAAAUGUUUGAGAUGGACAUGCUAAUUACCCUUAACUGAUCACUAUACAUCGUACAUAUCAAAAUAUGUACCCCAUGAAUAUGUAAAGUUAUUAUUUGUUAAUAAAAAAUAAAAUUUUGAAAAUAUUUUAAAUAAAUACAAAGUAAAAGUACAGUCA